AAAUUGAAGAGUUUGAUCAUGGCUCAGAUUGAACGCUGGCGGCAGGCCUAACACAUGCAAGUCGAACGGUAACAGGAAGCAGCUUGCUGCUUCGCUGACGAGUGGCGGACGGGUGAGUAAUGUCUGGGAAACUGCCUGAUGGAGGGGGAUAACUACUGGAAACGGUGGCUAAUACCGCAUAACGUCGCAAGACCAAAGAGGGGGACCUUCGGGCCUCUUGCCAUCAGAUGUGCCCAGAUGGGAUUAGCUUGUUGGUGAGGUAACGGCUCACCAAGGCGACGAUCCCUA
This 288-nucleotide ribosomal RNA is filed under the name Salmonella enterica subsp. enterica serovar Infantis. Its description in RNAcentral is "partial 16S ribosomal RNA". It matches the Rfam family "Bacterial small subunit ribosomal RNA", at positions 1 to 285 of the family's 1533-position model. Lineage: Bacteria; Pseudomonadati; Pseudomonadota; Gammaproteobacteria; Enterobacterales; Enterobacteriaceae. The record is from RNAcentral. RNAcentral also lists the same sequence under 4 other names.